RNAcentral lists this small nuclear RNA (107 nucleotides) under Microcebus murinus (gray mouse lemur). Lineage: Eukaryota; Metazoa; Chordata; Mammalia; Primates; Cheirogaleidae. The record is from RNAcentral.
GUGCUCACUUCAGCAACACAUAUAUUAAAAUUGGAACAAUACAGAGAAGAUUAGCAUGGUCCCUGUGCAAGGAUAACAUGCAAAUUCGUGAAGCGGUCCAUAAGAAA